UUCUGGUUGAUCCCGCCGGACCUGACUGCUAUCGGAUUGAUACUAAGCCAUGCGAGUCUUUGUAGUAAUACAAGGCAGACGGCUCAGUGACACGUAGUCAACCUACCCUAUGGACGAGAAUAAUCUCGGGAAACUGAGCAUAAUUCUUGAUAGAUCAUAAUGCCUGGAAUGGUUUAUGGUUAAAAUGAUUCGUCGCCAUAGGAUGGGACUGCGGCCUAUCAGCUUGUUGGUGAGGUAAUGGCCCACCAAGGCGAUUACAGGUACGGGCUCUGAGAGGAGAAGCCCGGAGAUGGGUACUGAGACACGGACCCAGGCCCUAUGGGGCGCAGCAGGCGAGAAAACUUUGCAAUGUGCGAAGGCAUGACAAGGUUAAUCCGAGUGAUUUCUGCUAAAGAAAUCUUUUGCCAGUCGUAAAACCGCUGGUGAAUAAGGGGUGGGCAAGUUCUGGUGCCAGCAGCCGCAGUAAU
This 467-nucleotide ribosomal RNA is filed under the name uncultured archaeon. RNAcentral's name for it is "bacterial SSU rRNA". It matches the Rfam family "Archaeal small subunit ribosomal RNA", at positions 1 to 474 of the family's 1478-position model. The record is from RNAcentral.